GACGAACGCUGGCGGCGUGCUUAACACAUGCAAGUCGAACGGAAAGGCCCUGCUUUUGUGGGGUGCUCGAGUGGCGAACGGGUGAGUAACACGUGAGUAACCUGCCCUUGACUUUGGGGUAACUUCAGGAAACUGGGGCUAAUACCGGAUAGGAGCUCCUGCUGCAUGGUGGGGGUUGGAAAGUUGCGGCGGUUGGGGAUGGAUGGGCGGCUUAUCAGCUUGUUGGUGGGGUAGUGGCUUGCCAAGGCUUUGACGGGUAGCCGGCCUGAGAGGGUGACCGGCCACAAUGGGACUGAGAUACGGCCCAGAGUGCUACGGGAGGCAGCAGUGGGGAAUAUUGCACAAUGGGCGGAAGCCUGAGGCAGAGACGCCGCGUGCGGGAUGACGGCCUUCGGGUUGUAAACCGCUUUCGCCUAUGACGAAGCGUGAGUGACGGUAAUGGGUAAAGAAGCACCGGCUAACUACGUG
Molecule: ribosomal RNA, 468 nt
Filed under: uncultured bacterium
Lineage: Bacteria
Description: partial 16S ribosomal RNA
Rfam family: Bacterial small subunit ribosomal RNA
Source: RNAcentral